AUUGAACGCUGGCGGCAGGCUUAACACAUGCAAGUCGAGCGGGGGAAGGUAGCUUGCUACCGGACCUAGCGGCGGACGGGUGAGUAAUGCUUAGGAAUCUGCCUAUUAGUGGGGGACAACAUCUCGAAAGGGAUGCUAAUACCGCAUACGUCCUACGGGAGAAAGCAGGGGAUCUUCGGACCUUGCGCUAAUAGAUGAGCCUAAGUCAGAUUAGCUAGUUGGUGGGGUAAAGGCCUACCAAGGCGACGAUCAGUAGCGGGUCUGAGAGGAUGAUCCGCCACACGGGGACUGAGACACGGCCCAGACUCCUACGGGAGGCAGCAGUGGGGAAUAUUGGACAAUGGGGGGAACCCUGAUCCAGCCAUGCCGCGUGUGUGAAGAAGGCCUUAUGGUUGUAAAGCACUUUAAGCGAGGAGGAGGCUCUUUUGGUUAAUACCCAAGAUGAGUGGACGUUACUCGCAGAAUAAGCACCGGCUAACUCUGUGCCAGCCGCCGCGGUAA
Molecule: ribosomal RNA, 501 nt
Filed under: uncultured bacterium
Lineage: Bacteria
Description: partial 16S ribosomal RNA
Rfam family: Bacterial small subunit ribosomal RNA
Source: RNAcentral